AUGUUUCAUUCAACUUACAGACAAUUCAAUAAAUCCCAUCCAGUACAUAAACUACUACAUCAUUCUAAUUACAAGGAAAUUCUACAACUCAACAUACUAUCUCUAAAAGUCCUAUCUCAUUCUAAUUCUCCAAGUUGUUUCAUCUUCACCAUUUUCCAAGAGUGA
Molecule: non-coding RNA, 165 nt
Organism: Vicia faba (fava bean)
Lineage: Eukaryota; Viridiplantae; Streptophyta; Magnoliopsida; Fabales; Fabaceae
Source: the annotation of a GenBank genome assembly